Non-coding RNA from Orcinus orca (killer whale), 73 nucleotides. Lineage: Eukaryota; Metazoa; Chordata; Mammalia; Artiodactyla; Delphinidae. The record is from the annotation of a RefSeq genome assembly.
UCCCUGGUGGUGCAGUGGUUAAGACUCCGUACUCACAAUGCAGGGGGCCCGGGUUCAAUUCCCGGUCAGGGAA